CAAGUGUCUUCCUUGCAAACCCCCAAGGACUCAAUGUGUGUGGCCUUUGACUGAUCCCCCCACCUCGUGCCCAGUGGUCCUCAGUUCCAGGUUUUCCCAUCUACCCUUCACCCACUGCUUAUGUUUAUAAAAACGGGGUAAAUCAAAUGUUUGUGACCCAGAUCUUAUUCUACAUGCAGUGGAAACAUGUAUGACUUCAGCUUUUUGGAAAAGCAGAACCUUUUUUCGUGGUUCAAGAAAUCAGAGUCUUCCCGAGAGGUCUUUCUGUAAAUCCAGAGCUGUAGAUGUUUCACUGUGUUCAGAGAGGGGCCCUUGUGCUGGGUGAAGUGGAUGGGGCACAGCAGGCAAUGGGUGAAAAGCAGGACAACCUGGGGCCCUGGGAGGACCAGGGAGGGCCCAUGGGCAAGGCGGUCCCAUGUCUUUGACUUGGUCCCAUGUCUUUGACUGUUCAUCAGCCGGCUGACUUUCUGUCCACCUGUUGUCUGCUCUGCCCAUCCAUCCAUAGUCCUUCCGCCCAUCUCUGCUGGUUGCUGCUGUGCUACUCAGCUGUGUCUGUCUGUCCACCUGACUGUCUGCUCUCUUUCAGGAUGCCUUCCGUGCCUUCCAUCAAGAUCUCAAUUUUGUGCGCAAGUUCCUACAGCCCCUGUUGAUUGGAGAGCUGGCUCCGGAAGAACCCAGCCAGGAUGGACCCCUGAAUGCGCAGCUGGUCGAGGACUUCCGAGCCCUGUACCAGGCAGCCGAGGACAUGAAGCUGUUUGAUGCCAGUCCCACCUUCUUUGCUUUCCUACUGGGCCACAUCCUGGCCAUGGAGGUGCUGGCCUGGCUCCUCAUCUACCUCCUGGGUCCUGGCUGGGUGCCCAGUGCCCUGGCUGCCUUCAUCCUGGCCAUCUCUCAGGCUCAGUCCUGGUGUCUGCAGCAUGACCUGGGCCAUGCCUCCAUCUUCAAGAAGUCCCGGUGGAACCACGUGGCCCAGAAGUUCGUGAUGGGGCAGCUAAAGGGCUUCUCCGCCCACUGGUGGAACUUCCGCCACUUCCAGCACCACGCCAAGCCCAACAUCUUCCACAAAGACCCAGACGUGACGGUGGCGCCCGUCUUCCUCCUGGGGGAGUCAUCCGUCGAGUAUGGCAAGAAGAAACGCAGAUACCUACCCUACAACCAGCAGCACCUGUACUUCUUCCUGAUCGGCCCACCGCUGCUCACCCUGGUGAACUUCGAAGUGGAAAAUCUGGCGUACAUGCUGGUGUGCAUGCAGUGGGCGGAUUUGCUGUGGGCCGCCAGCUUCUAUGCCCGCUUCUUCUUAUCCUACCUCCCCUUCUACGGCGUCCCUGGGGUGCUGCUCUUCUUUGUUGCUGUCAGGUAUGGCAGGGAGUGGCGAGGUCACACACAGACGACAGGUGACCCCACCGCACCCCCCCCCCCACCAGAGCGUCCCUUUCCCCGUCUGCAGAGUGGGGCCAGUGGUACUGCCUCCCUGGCUUGCUGGCAGAAUCACAUAAACACAAGCGUGACAGGAGCCCAGGGUCGGUGGGUUUAGGGAGCAUGGCCUGGCUUGUAAGUGGCCCCGUGGGUGUCGGAGCUGCUCUGGGCUCAGCCUCACAGUGGACACUGCUCCAUUCAGAUUCUUUAAGCACUGGCAAGGGGGCGAUGACCACAAUCCUAUUGUACAGAUAAGGAAGUCAAGGCCACUUGGGGACAGCUGCUCUCCAGCCUCCACUCAGGGUGCCUAAGUGGUGAGCUGGACCUAGGGCAGUGCCCGAGCCUCCCCACAGGGUCCUGGAAAGCCACUGGUUCGUGUGGAUCACACAGAUGAACCACAUCCCCAAGGAGAUCGGCCAUGAGAAGCACCGGGACUGGGUCAGCUCUCAGCUGGCAGCCACCUGCAACGUGGAACCUUCGCUUUUCACCAACUGGUUCAGCGGGCACCUCAACUUCCAGAUCGAGCACCAGUGAGUCCUCUUCCCCAGGAUGCCGAGACACAACUACAGCCGGGUGGCCCCACUGGUCAAGUCGCUGUGUGCCAAGCACGGCCUCAGCUACGAAGUGAAGCCCUUCCUCACCGCGCUGGUGGACAUUGUCAGGUCCCUGAAGAAGUCUGGUGACAUCUGGCUGGACGCCUACCUCCAUCAGUGAAGGCAACACCCAGGCGGGCAGAGAAGGGCUCAGGGCACCAGCAACCAAGCCAGUCCCCGGCGGGAUCGAUACCCCCACCCCUCCAUUGGCCAGCCUGGGGGUGCCCUGCCUGCCCUCCUGGUACUGUUGUCUUCCCCUCAGCCCCUCGCAUGUGUAUUCAGCAGCCCUCCGGCCUUGGCUCUGGGCCUGAUGGGACAGGGGUAGAGGGAAGGUGAGCGUAGCACAUUUUCCUAGAGCAAGAAUUGGGGGAAAGCUGUUAUUUUUAUAUUAAAAUACAUUCAGAUGU
RNAcentral lists this small RNA (2416 nucleotides) under Pongo abelii (Sumatran orangutan). Its description in RNAcentral is "retained intron". Lineage: Eukaryota; Metazoa; Chordata; Mammalia; Primates; Hominidae. The record is from RNAcentral.